RNAcentral lists this long non-coding RNA (3396 nucleotides) under Nicotiana benthamiana. Its description in RNAcentral is "long non-coding RNA (NBEN_LNC040949)". Lineage: Eukaryota; Viridiplantae; Streptophyta; Magnoliopsida; Solanales; Solanaceae. The record is from RNAcentral.
GGUUUGUCACGAUCCAAGUUUGACCUCCGUGAACUGUCGUGACAGCACCUAAUCUUUACGAUUGGGUAAGCCUCAUAAUUGCGAAAAAAGAAACAAAAUGCGGAAAAACUAAUAAAAAAUGAAGAUGAACAAAUAUAGAAGUGUUUAAGAUGUCGUUCGGCAUAUACCAAUACAAGAUCUCAAAAACUGAACAAUUCCCAAAACUCAAAAUCUCAUGAAAUCACAAGCUUUAGAAUAACUACAAGUGUCUAACUCCAGAAUGUCUAAACAAAUGUAAAUACAAAAGGGCUAAUAUUAUGAGAGAGAAUGGAAAGGGACUCCUUGGUCUGCGGACGCGGAAGAUAUACCUCGAAGUCUCUAGAGGAUUGCCUUGCCUCAAGGGUAAUGGGACUGAGUCGAAGUACCUGAAUCUACAGCUGAAAAAUAUGCGCAGAAAGGGUAUGAGUACACCACAACGAUAGUCAGUAAGUGCCAAGCCUAAUCUCAAUCGAGUAGUGACGAGGAAGGUCAGGACCCUACUGAUUGUAGCUCAAAAACAAUGUAAAAUAGUAUAGAAUAUGAAAUAUAAUUAAAUGCUAACAGUAUAAAGUAACACAGGAUAAUAAUAAUUACAACUACUAUAACAGAGACAAUCACAAAAGAAAUACAACUCAACACAGGGAUAACAAUCGGGGAUCUCUCAGUAUCCCGAGGAUCUCUUAGUAUCUUCAAUAUGUAUGUUAGGGAUCUCUUAAUAUCCUCUAUAUAUGUGUUGGGGAUCUCUCGAUAUCCCAAGUAUCCCUUAGUAUCCUCAAUAUAUGUGUUGGGGAUCUCUCGAUAUCUCGAGGAUCUUUUAGUAUCCUCAAUAUACGUAUGGGGGAUCUCUCGGUAUCACGCACAAUAGUUCAAAUCAAUAUAUGUGCAAGGGAUCUCCUGGAAUAUAAAUUCGUAGUCCCAAAGUAAACAAGCAGGGUGAUCUAUCGGGAUACGGUUCUGUAGUACCAAAGUAAACAGACAGCAGCAACAUGAAGGAUACUCAAUUAAAUUCAAAUUUCAUACCAAGGUAAAAUCGGUAAUUUCAUGAUGGCAUUCUACAAACCGUAGGGGCAAGGUACAAGCAAGUGGGCAGAAGCUUGUGCACUACUAUUUGGCAUCAAUUGGUGCAUUCAAAAAGGCCACAACCUUAUCAUUGGUGAAACUGAUUCACUACUCCUAAAAAUGUACAUAACUGGUACAUGGUCUUCUCCAUGGAGGAUUGCAAACAAUAUGAGACAGCUAAAGACUGGUGUAUAAUAAUGGGAUAAUCAUCAGACAUUGAUUAAGGGAAACAAACAGAGUGGCGGAUAAAAUGGCUUCCUUGAGCCACAAGACUAGUGUUGUAUAUAUAAACACUAAUUUUGAUACCUUACCUCGUCAGGUUAAUCUUCCUACUUUUCAAUUCAUGAAGAGAAAACCAAGCAAACUUAGAUAUGAGCCGCCUUGAUAUACUAGCUUUAUUGUCAAAUUUUGUUGUUUUGCUUUAGAGGAAGUGUUAGUGUUUACUACUAGCUGUUUGACUCUAUCUACUCUUGUAAAGAAGGCAUGGAUAUACCCUUCCUUCUUCAACUGUAAUUUCUUCAAAAGUGAAUCACACGAAAUACCUUUUAAGUUUAAAACAAAAAACUUAGUAUGCUGCACUUAAUCCAAAUAAGGCAGAUUAAGCAAGUAAAGCAAUUAAGUCUGUCACACCUCCUUUUCCAUGCCACCCCAAAGAAUAGUGUAUAAGGAAAAUUUUCUAAUUUAAGUGAUAUUAUUCGAAAUGGAAUUAUUUAUUUAGCAGAGUCACCACUUGAGAUAAUUUAUUUAGCGUUCUAAGUCACUGGUUUAUUUUGAAUCCCAAAUCGAGGAAAUUUUUUACUUUCUAAGUAAAGUCUGCGAACCAGAAAUUCUUGAGUAAGGAAUUCUAUUAACCCGGGGAAGGUGUUAGGCACCCCUGGAUUCCGCAGUUCUACCACGAUCACUUAAACUAUCAUAAUUCGCAUAUUACAUGAUUUUAAUACAUGUUUCAAUCAAUAGAGCAAUUUUAAAUUACUUACCGCUUUAAAUUAAUUUUUAAGGAAUUUUGCAACAUUAUUAAAACACAUCUCGAAUCACGUCACAUAAAUGAACCCGUAGUUUUUGACAUAUUUUAACGCGGUUGAAAUUUGAAUUUGGGUCACAUAAAUGUGCAUCCGAGUUUAAGAAGGUAAUUUAAAUUACGUAUCUAAAGCAACUACACACUUUCAAGUUUGCGAGGGCCAUGAAAAAUUAAAUUAAUUGCACACAUCAAUUUCUAAAAGGUUAAAACGAUUAAUUUUAAUUUAAACAAAUGCUUACUCAUGAACCCUUAUCUGUAUAAAAAUCACCAGUCAAUUUGCAUGGAAAGAAGUAAAGUCAUUAAAGUGAAUUAAGCUACCUCACUAGUUACGAUAAUAUGACUUCAAUGUACAAACUUUCUUUUACCUUUUGAUCAACUUACAAAGCAGUCUGCCUAUUCAAAAAUUAAAUAUACCACAUGUGCACACAGAUCUUGAUAACAAAUAAGCUAGCAAUGAGAUGAGUGUACAAUAAUUGACCAAACAGCUAAUAGAAGUCAUUUGUAAUACACCGUCCUUGAUUUUGGAUAAUUCAAAUCUCCAUAGACAAACAUAAAAACAAAGAUUUAUUGAAGACACUCCCAUCAUCAAGACAACCUUUUCUUCUUGGUGCAAAAUAAAAUUAAACAAAAGCAUACAUAAAUUUUUUUUCUUUUUUGUUAUUUCUGAUGACUUGUAACUAAUUCAUGCAACAAUCAAUUAAAGAUUCAUAGAAUCAAGGAACGUUCUUAAAUUAUCAAACAAAACUAAAGUAUAUCACAAUACAGUAAUAUUCCGUUAUAAAAAUCAAAACUACAAUGAAAACUUACUCAAUGGAAUUGUGUUGGGUAUUCCUAUGAGUUCAGCAGCAGCUGCGUAGAAACAAAAGCUUCCACAUGAAGUAGCAGCGAUUUCCUCAGCAAACCAGAAAAUUAAGGCCAAAAACCAGAAGAAAAGGGAAGCUCUUUGUUCGAGUUCUAAUUUUCCCUUCUAACUUGGAGCUUUUUGAGUUUUCCGAAUCUGGGAUUCAGGAGUUUUUAGUGUUUUUCAUGUGGUGAAUUGAAGAAGAACUUCGUCUAAUCUGAGUGAAAGGGGAAGGCUUUCCACAAAAUGGGGAAGGGUUCUAAUUUUUUGUCUCUAGUGUCUAAGUCGGUGCAAAAUGGGGAAGGAGAUGGCCUUCUCUGUCAAAAUGAGAGAGGCGCCGUUGGCUUUUGUUUUUAGGGGACUAAGGGUGAGAUCUAGGAUAUGUUCUUGUCUUCCAUGGAAAAUUGGAGGAGAAGCUUUUUGAAGAUGGUGAAGGAAUGCUCAAUCUCAUAAUAGNNNN